Molecule: ribosomal RNA, 292 nt
Filed under: uncultured bacterium
Lineage: Bacteria
Description: partial 16S ribosomal RNA
Rfam family: Bacterial small subunit ribosomal RNA
Source: RNAcentral
GUGCCAGCCGCCGCGGUAAGACAGAGGGUGCAAACGUUGUUCGGAAUUACUGGGCGUAAAGCGCGUGUAGGCUGCCUUGUAAGUCAGGUGUGAAAGCCCUGGGCUCAACCCAGGAAGUGCACUUGAAACUACAAGGCUUGAGUUCUGGAGAGGAUGGCGGAAUUCUCGGUGUAGAGGUGAAAUUCGUAGAUAUCGAGAGGAACACCGGUGGCGAAGGCGGCUAUCUGGACAGUGACUGACGCUGAGACGCGAAAGCGUGGGGAGCAAACAGGAUUAGAAACCCUCGUAGUCC